GAAACUUUAGUUAAAUCAUAACACAUGCCUGUCGGACAUGAAUUGCUUUUUAAGCAAGUUUCU
Molecule: transfer RNA, 63 nt
Filed under: Paraleonnates uschakovi
Lineage: Eukaryota; Metazoa; Annelida; Polychaeta; Phyllodocida; Nereididae
Description: tRNA-Asp
Source: RNAcentral